Molecule: non-coding RNA, 273 nt
Organism: Salvelinus sp. IW2-2015
Lineage: Eukaryota; Metazoa; Chordata; Actinopteri; Salmoniformes; Salmonidae
Source: RefSeq, a predicted model, not a curated record
GUGGUGGAAUUACAAGUCACCUUGCAGCAAGUUUUUGUACCAGCCUUGACUGACCCUCAAAGCACAGAAUUCAAAACGCUAUCAGAAACCAUUACCAUAUUUUGUGACACAAUCUUCCGACAAAGAUAUGGGCUUAGUUUCGUUCAGACGACUGUUACUCAAUUCAGACUGUGCCCCGUCUCGGUCAGGAUCCUUACACAGAGGUGGAGUUGGAACUGGAGUUCAAUGCGACCUCCACUGUACCUAUCCCCAAGGGCAGUGACAUUGUUGAUA